Molecule: long non-coding RNA, 1099 nt
Organism: Glycine soja
Lineage: Eukaryota; Viridiplantae; Streptophyta; Magnoliopsida; Fabales; Fabaceae
Exons: 2
Source: RefSeq, a predicted model, not a curated record
AUCAUAUUCAUAUACACUAUAGUUCUAGAUUGUUCUACCAUAUUCAUACAUAUUAUAUUUAAGAAUAUUCUAAAAAUUUGUAGCAAUUUCAACACUUUUUAUCACACAUAAAGACUACCCUAUACCAAUUUGAUUUGAUCCACCAUCCCUUUCAAGUUGAGAGUUCUUGAAACUUGGUUAUGAAUCUUCAAAAAAUACUCUCCUAGCUCUCACACUCUCAAAAGGUGAGAUCAUCACAAAUUGAAUAGAAGAGUUAUGUGAAGAGACUUGAAUAAAGGAGAAACAGAGUUAAUCUAUUAUUUUGUUCUUGACCCCUUUUGGUUAUCAAUUUGAAGAUAAUAGUCGAUUAUAUCAUGGGAUAAGCGAUUAAUUGCGAAGGUGCCUUAAAUUCUUCCAGACUGAAAUUAUCGAUUAUCACAAGUAACUAAUCAAUUAUUUGUGAAACUGUGAUAAAUUCUCAAAACAGGCACUUUGAGAUAAUCGAUUAAUUUGUUCAUCACUUUAAGACUUAAAAAUAUGGAAACUUGUUUCAAUCCAGAAUUAAUCCAAGUUAUUUACUAAGUUCAUUUUAUCAGAAGGGUGCUAGGAUAAGUCUAUAUAUGAGGAUAAUCUAACCUAUAUCAAUUCAUCUCACACACAAUCGUGCAAUGAAAGAAAAACGAAAGACAAAGCUAUAAUAGUUUUGUUCCACUCUAGUUCUAUUUUUUUUUGGUUGUCAAAGAUGGAGAUAGAGAUUGUCAUGGUGGUACAAAAAUUAUGUCCCCAAAAUGGAGAUAACUGCUUUUCAAGAGAGAAAACAAUUACAAGAGGUGACAAAACUGGCGGAGUAGUGACAGUGGAUGUUAAGUUGUAAUUCAGUAGUUAGUUGUAUUAGAGGCUGUUAGUGAUAGUUAUAGACUUUCCUAUAUAAGGGAGUCACUGUAAAGUGCAGUAAGUGAAUAAUAGAAUUUUGCAUCUAUUAUUUUCUUUGUUAAAAGGAAACCAUGUGGAGGAUGAGUGUUUCAACAAAUUGGUGUGUAGAGCUUUGUUCGUUUCCUGGAACCAGAAGUUUCUUCACAAAGAUGAUUUCUCACAAUGAAAAUUUCCCUGCUUCUUUAUC